This 1056-nucleotide ribosomal RNA is filed under the name Bacillus sp. (in: firmicutes). RNAcentral's name for it is "bacterial SSU rRNA". It matches the Rfam family "Bacterial small subunit ribosomal RNA", at positions 39 to 1078 of the family's 1533-position model. The record is from RNAcentral. Lineage: Bacteria; Bacillati; Bacillota; Bacilli; Caryophanales; Bacillaceae.
GCGGCGUGCUAUACAUGCAGUCGAGCGGACCGACGGGAGCUUGCUCCCUUAGGUCAGCGGCGGACGGGUGAGUAACACGUGGGUAACCUGCCUGUAAGACUGGGAUAACUCCGGGAAACCGGGGCUAAUACCGGAUGCUUGAUUGAACCGCAUGGUUCAAUCAUAAAAGGUGGCUUUUAGCUACCACUUACAGAUGGACCCGCGGCGCAUUAGCUAGUUGGUGAGGUAACGGCUCACCAAGGCGACGAUGCGUAGCCGACCUGAGAGGGUGAUCGGCCACACUGGGACUGAGACACGGCCCAGACUCCUACGGGAGGCAGCAGUAGGGAAUCUUCCGCAAUGGACGAAAGUCUGACGGAGCAACGCCGCGUGAGUGAUGAAGGUUUUCGGAUCGUAAAACUCUGUUGUUAGGGAAGAACAAGUACCGUUCGAAUAGGGCGGCACCUUGACGGUACCUAACCAGAAAGCCACGGCUAACUACGUGCCAGCAGCCGCGGUAAUACGUAGGUGGCAAGCGUUGUCCGGAAUUAUUGGGCGUAAAGCGCGCGCAGGCGGUUUCUUAAGUCUGAUGUGAAAGCCCCCGGCUCAACCGGGGAGGGUCAUUGGAAACUGGGGAACUUGAGUGCAGAAGAGGAGAGUGGAAUUCCACGUGUAGCGGUGAAAUGCGUAGAGAUGUGGAGGAACACCAGUGGCGAAGGCGACUCUCUGGUCUGUAACUGACGCUGAGGCGCGAAAGCGUGGGGAGCGAACAGGAUUAGAUACCCUGGUAGUCCACGCCGUAAACGAUGAGUGCUAAGUGUUAGAGGGUUUCCGCCCUUUAGUGCUGCAGCAAACGCAUUAAGCACUCCGCCUGGGGAGUACGGUCGCAAGACUGAAACUCAAAGGAAUUGACGGGGGCCCGCACAANCGGUGGAGCAUGUGGGUUAAUUCAAAGCAACGCGAAGAACCUUACCAGGUCUUGACAUCCUCUGACAACCCUAGAGAUAGGGCUUCCCCUUCCNNGGCAGAAUAAAAGGUGGUGCAUGGGUGUCGUCNACUCGUGUCGUGAGAUGUGGG